GUGCUACAAGCGGUAAGAGUAAGGCUAAUGGUAACGCCUCCAGGAGGCCCAAAGAGAAAGAUGAACAGUAGCAGCAAUCCUGAAACAAUGAGACCAAAAAAACAGCGGCGCAACUCUGCGCGCACGACACACGAACUGGCGAUCUGGCAAGAGUUAUUCAAGAUGUCCACGGAUCGGUGUAUACUUCUGCUGCGCUUGGUGUGGCUCUUACAGGUACUUGAAGAUCAGGCCACCGUGGGUAGCGAAGAAGGGGGCGAACACAAGGGACUCCACGGCCAUGAGCUUGAUGAGGAUGUUGAGGGAUGGGCCAGAGGUGUCCUUCAGGGGGUCACCGAUGGUGUCGCCGAUAACGGCAGCCUUGUGGCAGUCUGAUCCCUUGGGGCCCAGGGUCCUUGCGUGCUCGCUGGCACCAGCCUGAAACAAACAAGGUAAAGUUGAGGACAAAGUUAAUCACUGACCAUAGAUACUGACUCGUAUUAUCCAGGACUUUUUCAGAGCCCUUACCUCAAUGUACUUCUUGGCAUUGUCCCAUGCACCACCAGUGUUGGAAGCAGAGAUGGCAAUCUGCCAAGAUUUCAAACGUCAUAAACCAUUCAACCAGUUAACACACAAAAGUAAAUACACAGAGCAACAGGAAGUGAUACGCACCUGCACUCCAGAAACCAGGGCACCAGCAAGAACACCAGAGAGGGUCUCCACACCAAAGAGGGUUCCAACAAUGAGGGGAGUGAGCAUGACCAGAGCACCUGGGGGGAUCAUCUCCUUGAUGGAAGCAUCGGUAGAGAUCUUGACACAGGUAGCGUAGUCAGGCUUGCCAGUUCCCUCCAUCAGACCAGGAAUGGUGUUGAACUGCCUGCGGACCUCCUCAACCAUCUUCAGAGCAGCACUUCCAACACUCUUCAUGGUCAUGGCAGAGAACCAGUAUGGAAGCAUGGCUCCGACAAUCAAGCCAAUGAAGACCUUGGGGGACAGGACAUCGACAACCUUCACUCCAGCUCUGCUGACAAAGGCACCAAAAAGGGCCAGGGACACAAGAGCAGCUGAUCCAAUGGCAAAUCCCUGCAAGAGGAUACAAAUGAAAUAAGUUCAACAAUUUCCUUGUUAAACAUCUAAUAGAAUCGAAUCGACUUGAGCCAACACAGAAUACAACUUUACCUUUCCAAUAGCAGCAGUGGUGUUGCCAGCUGCAUCAAGAGCAUCAGUUCUCUCACGGAUUCUGUGGCUCAUUCCAGCCAUCUCAGCAAUGCCACCAGCAUUAUCACUAAUGGGACCAUAAGCAUCAAUAGCAAGGCCAGUUGCGAUUGUGCUUAGCAUACCAAGGGCGGCAACUGCUAUGCCGUACAUUGCAGCAAUAGAGAAACUGACAUAGAUGCUGACAGCAAUGGCGAAAAUUGGGAUGAUAACUGACUUGUAUCCUAGAGCCAGACCGAAAAUCACAUUGGUGGCAGCACCAGUUCUGCAGGAAUCCGCAACAUCUUGCACAGGACUGCCAUAUAGGGAAAAAAAAUCAUGUUAGGGUUAAAACAGUAUCACAUAAAUGAUCAAGAAACACUAAUUAUUGAUUAGUAAGACCUAAUUAUAGACCGAUAGGAUUCUUACCUGUAUGCAUUGCUGGUGUAGUAUUCUGUGACAAAACCAAUAAUAAGACCAGCCCACAGACCAAUUGAAACACAGAAGAACAAGCCCCUACAAACACAUGACACUUCAGUCAGAAGAGAGUACAUUCCGCACACAAACAGCAAAGGUUGAUAAUAACAUACCAGUUGGAUACUUCCUUCUGAGCACCAAAGUUGAAGAUGGUGAACUUGGCUGGAAGGGCCAACCAGCUGAUUAUCGCAAUACCAACAGUCAUCAGAGCAGUGGAGAUGAUGAGCUGCUUCUUAAGUGCAGGUUCGAUUUCUUUCACAGCCUUGAUCUCAAAGAAGUCAGUGGCAAAGAGUGUGGUGAGCAAGCAGACUAUGAUGCCAACAGAGCUCACAAGCAGUGGGUAGCACAUCCCAGUAAAAUCAUGGUUGAUUCCAAAAGAUGAAAUAGAUGCAACAACAAGGGCAGCACAGGAAGAUUCUGCGUAUGACCCAAAGAGAUCAGACCCCAUUCCAGCAAUGUCACCAACAUUGUCACCAACAUUAUCAGCGAUCACCUGCAAAACAAGAUUUACAAGUUCAGAAAUGACAAUACCAAGUGUCAUAUGGCCCUCCUGUAAGUGACAGGAUUGCCUGUAAAUUAAUAUUGUAAGCCCAAAGCAGAGAUAAGAAAACUCACAGCUGGGUUCCUAGGAUCAUCCUCGGGGAUGUUCCUUUCAACUUUGCCAACAAGAUCAGCACCCACAUCAGCAGCCUUUGUGUAGAUACCUCCACCAACUCUUCCAAAGAGAGCCAUGGAAGACCCACCAAGGCCAUACCCAGUGAUAGACUCGAAAAGACCCUCCCAGUCAUCACCAUAGUACAACUUAAAUACGUUAAUGGUGAUGUAGAGAACCACAAGACCGCUUGAUGCAAGCAAAAAGCCCAUGACGGCACCAGAGCGGAAAGCGACAAUAAAUGCCUUCCCGACACCCUUCCUGGCUUCCAGGGUGGUUCUGGCAUUGGCAUAUGUGGCAAUCUUCAUUCCAAGGAAACCAGAGACCAAAGAGGUGAUAGCUCCAAGCAAGAAGGAUGCAGUGCUGAAGAGUGCAGUGAAGAGAGCGGGCUUGCAGUACUUUCCCUUGCUAUAGGUGCAGGGCUGGCUCUUUGUGCUGAAUC
RNAcentral lists this long non-coding RNA (2741 nucleotides) under Setaria viridis. RNAcentral's name for it is "long non-coding RNA (SVIR_LNC003898)". Lineage: Eukaryota; Viridiplantae; Streptophyta; Magnoliopsida; Poales; Poaceae. The record is from RNAcentral.